RNAcentral lists this unclassified non-coding RNA (245 nucleotides) under Hevea brasiliensis (rubber tree). The record is from RNAcentral. Lineage: Eukaryota; Viridiplantae; Streptophyta; Magnoliopsida; Malpighiales; Euphorbiaceae.
UUUCUUCUCUCUACUUUUCCUUAAUCCUCAAGUCUUCUCUGCUUUUUCUUCUUCAACACUCUAAAAUAAUAACCGAAAAAAAUCCUCACUUUCGUCUUCAAUGGCAGAUACAAACUACUACACCAAAUAUCAACCGCAAAACCAAGCAAAUAACUCAAGUAAGUUUUACUCUAAUUUCCUCUACAAAGCUCUUUUAGUCACCAUCUUCUUAGUCAUACUCUCACUUUUCCCUUCACAAGCUCCUG